This is a long non-coding RNA of Betta splendens (Siamese fighting fish), 661 nucleotides long. RefSeq lists it as uncharacterized. The record is from RefSeq and is a predicted model, not a curated record. The transcript has 3 exons. Lineage: Eukaryota; Metazoa; Chordata; Actinopteri; Anabantiformes; Osphronemidae.
AUUUGGGUUAAUGUGACCCAGCGCAUGGGUCAAAUAUUUUCCCGCUCUUCCAUCUUUCUAGAACUUUCUACAGACAUCUUCUGACUCCUGCAGUUAGGAGCCUUAACGGGACAGCACACAGAGAGCAGUAAGUUGAUGCAGAUGAACUACUUUGAGGGGCAUUACCUGAGUGGCUGCUGGACACCUGGUAGAGACAGUUAAAGGUGGGGAGCAACCUGAUGGAAUCAACCAGUCCUACAAAAUCUGGGCCUCAAGGAUGAAACGACAACUUCCCAGGCUUCCUGUAUUUGUGACUGAAUCAUUCCUGGAGGCUGUUUUUGAAUGAUCUUUUGGUUUUUGAAGUGAACUACAAUAAACAAAGAGUUUCACCAGUACCUAGUGUACUGUAUUAAAGGACAAGGAAUCGCUGAGGUGCUAGGAAGCUAUUUUAAUUUAAGUUGUACUUUAUUAUUUUCAUAUACUGUAUUUAGAUUUUGAAUAUUUGUGCAAUUAAAAUAAAUACUAUUAUUAUUACUGUUAUUAAUGUUACUAUUAUUAUAUUUGUACAUUUUUUAUUAGAUUUACAGCUUAGGCAAGCCUGUCUUUGAAGGGUUUUAUUCAUUCUUGUUCUGGUUCUGUUCAUUGGCAACUGAACUUGCUCUUGUAAAUGUGUCAUUUUUCA